This 255-nucleotide ribosomal RNA is filed under the name uncultured bacterium. Its description in RNAcentral is "partial 16S ribosomal RNA". It matches the Rfam family "Bacterial small subunit ribosomal RNA", at positions 524 to 776 of the family's 1533-position model. The record is from RNAcentral.
UACGGAGGGAGCUAGCGUUGUUCGGAAUUACUGGGCGUAAAGCGCACGUAGGCGGCUUUGUAAGUUAGAGGUGAAAGCCCGGGGCUCAACCCCGGAAUUGCCUUUAAGACUGCAUCGCUUGAAUCCGGGAGAGGUGAGUGGAAUUCCGAGUGUAGAGGUGAAAUUCGUAGAUAUUCGGAAGAACACCAGUGGCGAAGGCGGCUCACUGGACCGGGUAUUGACGCUGGAGGUGCGAAAGCGUGGGGAGCAAACAGG